GACGAACGCUGGCGGCGUGCCUAAUACAUGCAAGUAGAACGCUGAAGCUUGGUGCUUGCACCGAGCGGAUGAGUUGCGAACGGGUGAGUAACGCGUAGGUAACCUGCCUGGUAGCGGGGGAUAACUAUUGGAAACGAUAGCUAAUACCGCAUAAGAGUAGAUGUUGCAUGACAUUUGCUUAAAAGGUGCAAUUGCAUCACUACCAGAUGGACCUGCGUUGUAUUAGCUAGUUGGUGAGGUAACGGCUCACCAAGGCAACGAUACAUAGCCGACCUGAGAGGGUGAUCGGCCACACUGGGACUGAGACACGGCCCAGACUCCUACGGGAGGCAGCAGCAGGGAAUCUUCGGCAAUGGACGGAAGUCUGACCGAGCAACGCCGCGUGAGUGAAGAAGGUUUUCGGAUCGUAAAGCUCUGUUGUAAGAGAAGAACGAGUGUGAGAGUGGAAAGUUCACACUGUGACGGUAUCUUACCAGAAAGGGACGGCUAACUACGUG
Molecule: ribosomal RNA, 497 nt
Filed under: uncultured bacterium
Lineage: Bacteria
Description: partial 16S ribosomal RNA
Rfam family: Bacterial small subunit ribosomal RNA
Source: RNAcentral